GGGAAUAUUGCACAAUGGGGGGAAACCCUGAUGCAGCGACGCCGCGUGAACGAAGAAGUAUUUCGGUAUGUAAAGUUCUAUCAGCAGGGAAGAUAAUGACGGUACCUGACUAAGAAGCACCGGCUAAAUACGUGCCAGCAGCCGCGGUAAUACGUAUGGUGCAAGCGUUAUCCGGAUUUACUGGGUGUAAAGGGAGCGUAGACGGACUGGCAAGUCUGAUGUGAAAGGCGGGGGCUCAACCCUGGACUGCAUUGGAAACUGUUAGUCUUGAGUGCCGGAGAGGUAAGCGGAAUUCCUAGUGUAGCGGUGAAAUGCGUAGAUAUUAGGAGGAACACCAG
This 338-nucleotide ribosomal RNA is filed under the name uncultured Lachnospiraceae bacterium. Its description in RNAcentral is "bacterial SSU rRNA". It matches the Rfam family "Bacterial small subunit ribosomal RNA", at positions 357 to 712 of the family's 1533-position model. The record is from RNAcentral. Lineage: Bacteria; Bacillati; Bacillota; Clostridia; Lachnospirales; Lachnospiraceae.